This 440-nucleotide ribosomal RNA is filed under the name uncultured bacterium. RNAcentral's name for it is "partial 16S ribosomal RNA". It matches the Rfam family "Bacterial small subunit ribosomal RNA", at positions 338 to 795 of the family's 1533-position model. The record is from RNAcentral.
CCUACGGGGAGCAGCAGUGGGGAAUAUUGCACAAUGGGGGAAACCCUGAUGCAGCGACGCCGCGUGAGGGAAGAAGGAUUUCGGAAUGUAAAGCCCUGUCAGCAGGGAAGAAAAUGACGGUACCUGACGAAGAAGCCCCGGCUAACUACGUGCCAGCAGCCGCGGUAAUACGUAGGGGGCAAGCGUUAUCCGGAUUUACUGGGUGUAAAGGGAGCGUAGACGGCAGGGCAAGUCUGGUGUGAAAGGCGGGGGCUCAACCCCCGGCCUGCACUGGAAACUGCCAGGCUUGAGUGCAGGAGAGGCAAGUGGAAUUCCUAGUGUAGCGGUGAAAUGCGUAGAUAUUAGGAGGAACACCAGUGGCGAAGGCGGCUUACUGGACUGUAACUGACGUUGAGGCUCGAAAGCGUGGGGAGCAAACAGGAUUAGAUACCCUAGUAGUC